AGCAGCCGCGGUAAUUCCAGCUCCAAUAGCGUAUAUUAAAGUUGUUGCAGUUAAAAAGCUCGUAGUUGAAUUUCGGGACCAAUAUGUCGGUCGUGCCUCGGUACGUACUGGUGUCAUUGGUUUCUCCCUUCUGAGGAUCCUUGAUGUCAUUAAUUUGGUGUCUUGGGGAAUCAGGACUGUUACCUUGAAAAAAAUUAGAGUGUUUAAAGCAGGCAUACGCUUGAAUACAUUAGCAUGGAAUAAUGAAAUAGGACGUUUGAUUCUAUUUUGUUGGUUUCUAGGAUCGACGUAAUGAUUAAUAGGGAUAGUUGGGGGCAUUAGUAUUCAAUUGUCAGAGGUGAAAUUCUUGGAUUUAUUGAAGACUAACUACUGCGAAAGCAUUUGCCAAGGAUGUUUUCAUUAAUCAAGAACGAAAGUUAGGGGAUCGAAGACGAUCAGAUACCGUCGUAG
RNAcentral lists this ribosomal RNA (450 nucleotides) under uncultured Glomeromycotina. Its description in RNAcentral is "SSU rRNA". It matches the Rfam family "Eukaryotic small subunit ribosomal RNA", at positions 569 to 1023 of the family's 1831-position model. The record is from RNAcentral. Lineage: Eukaryota; Fungi; Glomeromycota.